UGGGGAAUUUUGCACAAUGGGGGAAACCCUGAUGCAGCGACGCCGCGUGAUUUAGAAGGCCUUCGGGUUGUAAAAAUCUUUUGUAUGGGAAGAAAAUGACAGUACCAUACGGAUAAGGACCGGCUAAUUACGUGCCAGCAGCCGCGGUAAUACGUAAGGUCCGAGCGUUGUCCGGAAUCAUUGGGCGUAAAGGGUACGUAGGCGGAUAAGCAAGUUAGAAGUGAAAUCCUAUAGCUCAACUAUAGUAAGCUUUUAAAACUGCUCAUCUUGAGGUAUGGAAGGGAAAGUGGAAUUCCUAGUGUAGCGGUGAAAUGCGCAGAUAUUAGGAGGAAUACCGGUGGCGAAGGCGACUUUCUGGCCAUAAACUGACGCUGAGGUACGAAAGCGUGGGUAGCAAACAGG
Molecule: ribosomal RNA, 402 nt
Filed under: Verrucomicrobiota bacterium
Lineage: Bacteria; Pseudomonadati; Verrucomicrobiota
Description: Verrucomicrobia bacterium partial 16S ribosomal RNA
Rfam family: Bacterial small subunit ribosomal RNA
Source: RNAcentral